Aegilops tauschii subsp. strangulata is the source of this 1686-nucleotide long non-coding RNA. RefSeq lists it as uncharacterized. NCBI's taxonomy places the organism in Eukaryota, Viridiplantae, Streptophyta, Magnoliopsida, Poales, Poaceae. The record is from RefSeq and is a predicted model, not a curated record.
UUAUCAAACCAACGACCACACGCUUCCAAAGAAGACGCGCUAGCCACUACAACAUGUACAGGUUUAACUUCAAUAAGCUUUCUUAAUGUACUAGGAAAUAUGUCCGUGCGUUGCAACGAGAGAACAAAACUCGCAACAUAUAAAACUCAGCCUAAGCAAAUGUAGUAGACAUAAAAAUAACAUGCCUUUUUUUUAAUAAUCACCAUGGGGGGAGUGGAUCCCCACUAAAGGAACCCGAAGGCAUGUUACAUUAAGGAUUACAUCGAGAGAAGAAAUAUAGACGUCAAGACACAACAACCUCCCUGCUUAUGGUGUCCUUAAAUAAAGGCCCAAAUCGUAAAGUCUAUAGCGAUGUUCCGAGCUAGGACGUUCGUCGGCCUGUCUUCCAGUGAUCCAGUGUCACGGUCUCUUGGACCAUUUGGUUAUCUCGUGAAUUUCAAUGGAGACAUACAAAAAACAAUAUUGUUGCCUUUUACUGUGUUUUUCCUUCAUCAAGUAUCUUUGCCUCCUGGUCUUCCUACUCCAGGAAUACAGCACAAAAUUAAACUAAGAACAAAACAGAUCACGCUCAAUUUCGUCCCACGUUCCAAGCAGAUAGGCCCACGCACAAUGCACGCUAGCGGCGGACGUGUCGAGCGGCCAGCAUGCCACAAGAAUUAUUAAAAAUAUAACAUGCCGCUUGAAAGCCUCAUUUGACCAGAUUAGUCUGGGAUCAGAUCGACAGAACUACCAUUCUCUCUUCUCCCUCCCUCAUUCCCUCCGCCCUCGCAUCGUCUCCAGGACAACACAGGUCGAGCCCAAAUCAUGUUCACCGGUACCCUUCGCUUCCCCUCACCGUCGCCGGGGGAGGGCCGUCGGGCUAAGCCGGGGCGGCAGACGGCGGCGGCUGGCUUCUCUGCAGCAUGGGGUGGGGGAGGCUCACCUCCUGUUUGGCGUAGCGGCUUCGGUGUGAGCCCCCCUCGGGCCGGCGGCUCUUCUUUGGCUACUUGGGCGGCGUCCCCGCAUGGUGCUUCUCUAGGCCUGCCUCCCCUCGUCAUCGCUGGAGAAGGGCCGUUGGGCUAAGCCCGGGCCGCGACGGCGGGCUUCUCUGCAGCGGUGGUGGGGAGGCUUGCCUCCUGUUCGGUGCGGCGGCUUAGCGUGCUGCUUCUCCAGGCUGUCACCUAGUGCCAUCCCUCCGGGGGGCAGCUCUUCUUCCGCUGCUUGGGCGGCGUCCCCGCGUGCUGCUUCUCUAGGCCGUCACCUAGUGCCAUCCGUCUUUGGUACGCCAACAGCUCCAGAUCCAGGCGGCUGUGGUCGGAUCCACUACCGAUCCACCACCCCCUCCGUCCCGGGCCCUGGCCAGCCUCCAGCGUGGUCUUCUGUCUUGCUUCAAGCUUCAGUUUGGAGGCCCACUCAGCGGCCACGACGGGCAUCUGCAUCUCACGGCGGCCAAGGACCAGCACCGACCCGGACCCUUUUUUUCCAUGCACCUCUCUCCUCUUUGAUCGGUUGUGACCUUCCUCCCGGGCUAUUUUUUAUUGGGCAUGUAUGGCAUCUUUCUUGGUUUCUCUAGGAUAAACAUGAUCCAUAUCUCACCCUUUUUUGCUGGAUUGUUGAUUCUUGCAACUCCGAAGGUAUAUAAGUUGCUAGGAUUUGUGAUAAAGGGACAGUGUGGGACUAUUAAUUGGAAUAUGAAAGUUCAUCAAA